Dreissena polymorpha is the source of this 1859-nucleotide long non-coding RNA. RefSeq lists it as uncharacterized. The transcript is spliced from 3 exons. Lineage: Eukaryota; Metazoa; Mollusca; Bivalvia; Myida; Dreissenidae. The record is from RefSeq and is a predicted model, not a curated record.
UGUCAAAUAAAAACGCACUUUUUACCAAAACACACAUUUAGCGCACUUAAAAGUGCGUUAAUUGUGUGUUUUUUGUUAAUAUGUGCGUUUUCAGUGAUCAAAAGUGCAUUUAAGUGCGCUUUUUGUGCGUUUUUGCUUUUCAAGUGCGUUAUUUUAGUGAAAAAGUGCGUUUUUUGUGUGUUUUCUUCAUCUGUAAGUGCGCUUUUGAGUGUAGAUGUGAGCAAAAUGUGUGUUUUUUAUCUAAGAAGUGCGUCUUUUAUUUAGGAAGUGCGUUUUUUGUGUGUUUUCUUCAUCUGUAAGUGCGCUUUUGAGUGUAGAUGUGAGCAAAAUGUGUGUUUUUUAUCUAAGAAGUGCGUCUUUUAUUUAGGAAGUGCGUCUUUUAUCUAAGAAGUGUGUUUUAAGGUUUACAGAUGUGGGUUUUUUCUCACAAAAGUGCGUUUUUCUAUUUUGAUGUGCGUCUUUUUUAAGCAUAAGUUAGUCUUUUAUUUCAUAAGUGCGUUUUUAUCAUAUGAUCUGUUUUAAAAGGAUGUAUCUAAAAAGACACAUGUUUAACACACUUCUUAAAAAGUGUGUCUUUAACAACCGUUUAGCAAAUGUUGUACAGAAAUUGAACAAGAAACAAAAUUGUUGCAGGCUCUAACAAUUUAUUUACAUCAAAUGAUUAAACAUAGACAUAUAUCUCAGUAACCUGUAAUAAUAUAAGGGGCAGUUUGAAUAAUUACUGGUUGUCCAUAUUAACCUGUUUAAUGUUUACAUACUUUAUCAUACAAUUUCAAUGCAUACCCUAUUGCUUACGUUUUAAUCUCAAACAUUUCUAAAAAUUUCCACCUAAAUCAGACUGUGUGUAACUAAUUAAAAAUAUUGAAAGUGUCAAAAGUAUUAUGUGGGCUUGAUAGUAUCAAUUAUAUUUCCUCAACAUAAAUAAGUAUUUGAACUUUCUUAUACUGAUAUUUAUACCCUAAUACAAUUAAUGUCUACCACAUUGACCAUAAACAUACAUUUUAAAAGGCAAUUAAAAUAAUAUUUAUACUAUUUAUAUUAUUUGCUAAAACCAUUCAGCAUGUUAUAUUUAAAUAUUUACAAUUAAAUAUAAUGUGUUAAGGGUGCUGUGUAUUAUUCAAUAAAUAUUUUGGUGUUGAAAUGACUGCCUUAUCAGUAUUUCUCAAAUUAUGCAAUUUUUGGCUUAGACACAGCAUGGUAUCAGAUAAGAGAAUAGCCAGUCCCUAUCAGUCCUCCAUCUAAGCCUAACUAAGGGGUGUUGAUAUACUUUUGAUUUGUUCAGGCACCAUCUAUUUGAGAACCACAGAUAGGAAGUUAUUUUUUGAAAACAAGCAGCAUCAGCAACUGACUUUAAGCUAGAAUUAAGACUUAUUAUUUUAGUGUAAAAUGUCUUGAAAUACUUUCAGCAUGAAGUAUUGUGUGAUGAAAAAAAUGUGUAUUUACUACAAUGUGUAAAUCAACAAUAAAGGAGAUUAAAAGUGGGUGGUUAAAGACAUAUAAAGUGAUAUGGUCUAGUUCAACAACUGCCUGUAUUUUUGGAAUACUGAAGAACAGUCUGUUGUAACAGGUUAAACCCCAUGGAAAGAAUGUGCAUCAUCGCAUCGCCUGCCAAAAAAGGGAGCAAAAAAGAGACUACCUGAUGUAUGGACUUGAAUACCAGGUUUUACCCUGCACAAGCUGGCCGACAUGAGGAGAACAGGAGUGGGAAAACCGCGCCCUCUCCUUGACCAAGAAAAGCUGGAUUUGUUUAGAGGACCUGAUCAAAUGAGAUCAUGCACGAGACGCAUCGCGCAAAGGCCAUGACAGUAUAAUUGUUGCAAAGAAGUUUGACCGGCUAGUGGCAGACUUGGAGAGAAAGA